AUGCUCACUUUGGUAGCACAUAUACUAAAAGUAAAACAAUACAGAAAAUAUUAGCAUGGCCCUGUGUAAGGCAGACAAAGUCAUGUAGCAUUUUAUAUGUCU
Cricetulus griseus (Chinese hamster) is the source of this 102-nucleotide small nuclear RNA. Lineage: Eukaryota; Metazoa; Chordata; Mammalia; Rodentia; Cricetidae. The record is from Ensembl.